Molecule: ribosomal RNA, 433 nt
Filed under: uncultured bacterium
Lineage: Bacteria
Description: partial 16S ribosomal RNA
Rfam family: Bacterial small subunit ribosomal RNA
Source: RNAcentral
AACGAACGCUGGCGGCAUGCCUAACACAUGCAAGUCGAACGAGACCUUCGGGUCUAGUGGCGCACGGGUGCGUAACGCGUGGGAACCUGCCCUUAGGUUCGGAAUAACUCCCCGAAAGGGGUGCUAAUACCGGAUAAUGUCUUCGGACCAAAGAUUUAUCGCCUUUGGAUGGGCCCGCGUUGGAUUAGCUAGUUGGUAGGGUAAAAGCCUACCAAGGCGACGAUCCAUAGCUGGUCUGAGAGGAUGAUCAGCCACACUGGGACUGAGACACGGCCCAGACUCCUACGGGAGGAAGCAGUGGGGAAUAUUGGACAAUGGGCGAAAGCCUGAUCCAGCAAUGCCGCGUGAGUGAUGAAGGACUUAGGGUUGUAAAGCUCUUUUACCCGGGAUGAUAAUGACAGUACCGGGAGAAUAAGCUCCGGCUAACUCCGUG